AUACUUACCUGGCAGGGGCGAUACCAUGAUCACUAAGGUGGUUCACCCAGAGCGAGGCUCAUCCAUUGCACUCCGGAUGUGCUGACCCCUGUGAAUUCCCCAAAUGUGGGAAUCUCAACUGCAUAAUUUCUGGUAGUGGGGGACUGCGUCCGCGCUCUCCCCUG
The sequence is a small nuclear RNA, 164 nucleotides long. Its record names the gene U1. It matches the Rfam family "U1 spliceosomal RNA". From Rfam's summary of the family: U1 is a small nuclear RNA (snRNA) component of the spliceosome (involved in pre-mRNA splicing). The record is from Ensembl.